AGAGUUUGAUCCUGGCUCAGAUUGAACGCUGGCGGCAUGCCUUACACAUGCAAGUCGAACGGUAACGCGGGGCAACCUGGCGACGAGUGGCGAACGGGUGAGUAAUACAUCGGAACGUGCCCAGUAGUGGGGGAUAGCCCGGCGAAAGCCGGAUUAAUACCGCAUACGACCUGCGGGUGAAAGCGGGGGAUCGCAAGACCUCGCGCUAUUGGAGCGGCCGAUGUCAGAUUAGGUAGUUGGUGAGGUAAAGGCUCACCAAGCCUUCGAUCUGUAGCUGGUCUGAGAGGACGACCAGCCACACUGGGACUGAGACACGGCCCAGACUCCUACGGGAGGCAGCAGUGGGGAAUUUUGGACAAUGGGCGCAAGCCUGAUCCAGCCAUGCCGCGUGCGGGAAGAAGGCCUUCGGGUUGUAAACCGCUUUUGUCAGGGAAGAAACGCUCUGGGCUAAUACCCUGGGGUAAUGACGGUACCUGAAGAAUAAGCACCGGCUAACUACGUGCCAGCAGCCGCGGUAAUACGUAGGGUGCAAGCGUUAAUCGGAAUUACUGGGCGUAAAGCGUGCGCAGGCGGUUAUGCAAGACAGAUGUGAAAUCCCCGGGCUUAACCUGGG
This 613-nucleotide ribosomal RNA is filed under the name uncultured bacterium. Its description in RNAcentral is "bacterial SSU rRNA". It matches the Rfam family "Bacterial small subunit ribosomal RNA", at positions 8 to 618 of the family's 1533-position model. The record is from RNAcentral.